CAGGAUGUUUGGAUGAUGCAACUUCCUGUUGAACCUGUGUAAUGGAGAACAGUGUGAGGGAGAGGACUGCAGGCUCCGGGUGUAUUCUCACCUCAUGCCCAGUUUUCCUGGAAUUGGCUCUGGAUCCUCCACAACCUUGACCAGGAGCAGUUACUGAAUGUCAGUGACUGACUAGCUGCAGCUUUUAUUGAAGAAAGAAAAAAAAAGGUGAAGCUAAUAUGACACCGUGCUGAGAGAGGAAAGGAACGACAGAUGACGGAGAGGCAGGAAGGAGAGAGAGAGAUGCAUGGGCGUGAAAAAGAAGCUGGGUCUAGGCCAGGGGAAACCACAUCACCUCAGUAGUGCUGUAAUGUCUUAUAUAGUGACUGUCUUGUGAUUAUUAUUGUACAUUUAUGGAGUGUUCAUUGAUAAACAGCAUUGUGGCAGAAAGCACAGUUCUAUUAGAAACCUGAUGCUCACAUUUCUACAUACAUGGAAUAUUUUGUUUUUCAUCUGUUUGUCUUUCGCUUUAAUAAAAAUCUGUUCAUAAGAAUUUAGAUAUAAAUAUAAAAACCCUGUUACAAGUUAAAAGAACAUCUGAGUUUACAGAAUUAAGAGUCAGCAAAGGUGCAGAAACAAAGGUGUCAUUUUUGUUUGCCUAUUCACAGAACAAAUCAUAAUAGAAAUACACCUGCAUGAAAAACCUCAGGUCUAAAAAUUGGUGGACGUUUCAUCACUUGCCCUAUGCUGAUGAUACCACUGGAUAACGGUAAAGAUGAUAUGAAAUGUGUGUUCAGUAAAGGCAGAGAACAUAAGUUUCCAGGCAGAAGGCACUUUAACAUAAAAAGGAAGAUCCUGGUAACUGUUAAUAUGAAUAAUUUCUCUCCUGAUGGAUGUGAGAUAGAAAUAGUAGACAAUUUCUGCCUUCUUAGAUCAAUAAUCAACAAGGAAAUGACAAUCUUUCAAGAAACUGGAUGACAAAUUGCUCUUGGCGAGCAGCAGUGAAGGACUUUGAA
Molecule: long non-coding RNA, 995 nt
Organism: Pangasianodon hypophthalmus (striped catfish)
Lineage: Eukaryota; Metazoa; Chordata; Actinopteri; Siluriformes; Pangasiidae
Exons: 3
Source: RefSeq, a predicted model, not a curated record